RNAcentral lists this ribosomal RNA (125 nucleotides) under Cladonia ciliata var. ciliata. Its description in RNAcentral is "5.8S ribosomal RNA". It matches the Rfam family "5.8S ribosomal RNA", at positions 3 to 127 of the family's 154-position model. Rfam says of the family: 5.8S ribosomal RNA (5.8S rRNA) is a component of the large subunit of the eukaryotic ribosome. It is transcribed by RNA polymerase I as part of the 45S precursor that also contains 18S and 28S rRNA. Lineage: Eukaryota; Fungi; Ascomycota; Lecanoromycetes; Lecanorales; Cladoniaceae. The record is from RNAcentral.
CUUUCAACAACGGAUCUCUUGGUUCUGGCAUCGAUGAAGAACGCAGCGAAAUGCGAUAAGUAAUGUGAAUUGCAGAAUUCAGUGAAUCAUCGAAUCUUUGAACGCACAUUGCGCCCCUUGGUAUU